ACCCUCACUUAUCAGUUCUUGAAACCUCUCCCUAUAGUCCUCACAAGUCUGCUGAUGUUGACAUUAUUAAACCAUUCACAGUGGCGGCACUACUCAACAGGAAGUUGAAAGCUAACAAACCGAGGGCAGGAUCCAGAGUUCAGAAAAAUGAACCAGGGUGACCGGGAGCAUCAGAGUCUACUAAACUCCACCUAGAUCCCGCAACUCUGAUGUUCACAAGCAUACCUGGAAUGUGCAAAAAAUACAAUUACCCUUACAGUUUACCCUACAAAACAAGACCCUUUCCUUUAUUAAAAAAAAAAAAAAAUGCACGCCCAGAGUUAAGCCCGGUAGCACAAGAUCAAUUCUAAAGUUAAGAGAAAAACAGACUUACUGAUACACUACUAAAAGGAAUCUAAAGAGUGCAUAAUACGAGGAAAUAACCCUGUCCUCCCACAUUCGCCCAACUGGCACAGGACCCACCAGACCACUCCCCGGGAUCCAGGUUCUACAGCCCGGCGCGCUGGACUCCGCGCUCUCGCGCCCUGUUGUCCGGCCGAGCCCACUCCGGUCUGUCCAGGUCUGAGGGCGAAGCUACGUGCUAAGCACAAGAAAAACUCCCUUUCGAGCGAUGCCUCACAACUGGAUCAGAUUCCUGCAAAUGCAGGGGGAAAAAAGGAGGAAGAAAGGGCCGCCUGCCUGCAGCCCCUCGGACCAAGAGCACCGAACCGCAACCACGCGCCAGCCACGGACCCCCGGCCGCCCCGAGACGGGACCGGUAAUUCCACCGCCAGGCCGGGCCCCGCCCCGGGCCCGCGACCGUUCUGGGGCGUUCCUCCCGUGGGCGGCGCCUCCCUCACCGCCACUUGACUCUCUUCUUCCUGAGGGAGGCCGCGGCCGCCCCGCGACACCGAAGCCGCAGCUUCCAGGCCGCGCGGGCCCGCGACGUCCAGAGCGGCCUGCCAGGCCGGCUCCUUCCCCGCUGGCUCCCGCACGCCCUCUCUACCACCCCAAGCCCUUACCGAGGCAGCGCGGCCUCCGCGGCCCGCUCCUCCUAAUCCUUAGCCGCCGCCACCGACCCAGCGCCGCGGAGACCGGAACUUCCUCCGCGCCGGGCCGCUGCCUCCACAAAGGUGCCGCCGCCUUUAGCGCUCGGCCCGCCGGGAGAUGGAGUACACAGCGGCGGGUCGCGCCGACUCCACUCCCGGCGUACCCUGCGCGGGGGCCGGGGGCGGGGCGGGGGUGUGUGCUUGCCUGCGGGGGCGGGGCGUGAGGGGCACGCUAUUGCCCACGUCCAAUGGGAGGGUGCGCUUCCUUGCCCCGGUCCGCUGGGCCUGCUGGGGGUUGUGGUUUGGCCCUUAGCCCACGGCCGCUCGUCUUCUUUCGCUCUUCCGAGUAUGAGCAAAGCGUGCAGUCUGUGGGUGGCUUGGCUUUCUCGAGAUUUGCUCCCUGCCAGAGUGCGGACUGGACCCUGGCCUGCCUAGCUUAAAAAGGACUUACUCUCCGUUAAUGUGAAGGAAAUCUCCACCUAAGCCUUCCGGGGCAGGAGUUUGUGGCCCACAUAAGAGCCUGGCUCCCGACCCUCCCAAAGGAUAGAGGAGCAGUAAUCACACGGUCGUCCUCUUUUCCUUCUGAUGAGUUUUCAAAUUAGCCAUUCCCAGCUCAAGAAUAUCACUGGUAAAUAGGAUCCCUCUGGCUUCUAUGUGGAGAAUAGGCUGAAGGUGAAAAGGGCAGAAGCAGGCCAGCUGGCUAGGAGACUGCCUGGAAAGAUGGAAGAAUGUGGGAAGAGCAAUUUUGGCAGGAAGAAGAGGAGCUCAGUUUUCGGAGGGGGAAACUGCUGAAGAUGCUGAAAGAGUCAUUAAAGAAUUUGCCCUGAGUCACACCAGCAAGACAGCAACAGGGCUGGAACAGAUCCCAGCUUCUGGAUACAAUCGGGCCUUUUCACUUCAGCUGCAACUUCUUCACAGCACCUCAGGUUCUGAAAUGGCCACUCCAGUUAUGAAAAAAAAAGAAAUCUGUGGAAGAACAGAGGUCUUUUACCUUUGUGCUUCCUCCUGGUGGCUCCGAUGGUUAAGAAUCUGCCUGCAAUGAGGGAAAGCCAGGUUUGAUCCCUGGGUCUGGAAGAUCCCCUGGAG
This is a long non-coding RNA of Bos taurus (domestic cattle), 2114 nucleotides long. NCBI's taxonomy places the organism in Eukaryota, Metazoa, Chordata, Mammalia, Artiodactyla, Bovidae. The record is from Ensembl.